This is a non-coding RNA of Pelobates cultripes (western spadefoot toad), 574 nucleotides long. The record is from the annotation of a GenBank genome assembly. NCBI's taxonomy places the organism in Eukaryota, Metazoa, Chordata, Amphibia, Anura, Pelobatidae.
GAGGCCUUAAAGGAACACUAUAGCGUUAGGAAUUCAAAUAUGUAUUCCUAACGCUAUAGAGCCCUAGUCACCUGAACAGUGACUAGGGCCCCUUCUGUGGCAGGUAAAUGGUUAAUUAACCAUUUAUUUGCUUACCUUAAUCCAGCGCCGGGCUCCUUCAUCAACUUCAGCUCCCGAGUGGAGCUGAAUGUGCAUGCCCGGCCAGAGGCGCACGCGCAUUCAAAUCCACCCAUAGGAAAGCAUUACCCAAUGCUUUCCUAUGGGGAUCUUUUUUGACACUGGAGGUCCGUGAGGACGUCCAACGUCAAAUAGGUGUGAUUUACUCUGUGUAAAUCGCGGAAGCGCCUCUAGUGGUUGUCAGGGAGACAACCACUAGAGGCUGGACUAACCCUGCAGUAUAAACAUAGCAGUUUCUCUGAAACUGCUAUGUUUUCAGCUGCAGGGUUAAAACUAGGGGGACCUGGCACCCAGACCACUUCAUUGAGCUGAAGUUGUCUAGGUGCCUAUAGUGGUCCUUUUAUUGCAUAUACUUGAACGCUAAAUCCUUGUUUUGACCUGUAUUCCACAAUAGAAC